Molecule: ribosomal RNA, 426 nt
Filed under: uncultured Hassallia sp.
Lineage: Bacteria; Bacillati; Cyanobacteriota; Cyanophyceae; Nostocales; Tolypothrichaceae
Description: bacterial SSU rRNA
Rfam family: Bacterial small subunit ribosomal RNA
Source: RNAcentral
UGGGGAUUCUUCCGCAAUGGGCGAAAGCCUGACGGAGCAAUACCGCGUGAGGGAGGAAGGCUCUUGGGUUGUAAACCUCUUUUCUCAGGGAAGAAAAAAAUGACGGUACCUGAGGAAUAAGCAUCGGCUAACUCCGUGCCAGCAGCCGCGGUAAUACGGAGGAUGCAAGCGUUAUCCGGAAUGAUUGGGCGUAAAGCGUCCGCAGGUGGCUGUGUAAGUCUGCUGUUAAAGAGUCUGGCUCAACCAGAUAAAGGCAGUGGAAACUACACGGCUAGAGUGCGUUCGGGGCAGAGGGAAUUCCUGGUGUAGCGGUGAAAUGCGUAGAGAUCAGGAAGAACACCGGUGGCGAAAGCGCUCUGCUAGGCCGCAACUGACACUGAGGGGCGAAAGCUAGGGGAGCGAAUGGGAUUAGAUACCCCAGUAGUC